UACGGAGGGUGCGAGCGUUGUCCGGAAUCACUGGGCGUAAAGGGUGCGUAGGCGGGUCUUUAAGUCAGGGGUGAAAUCCUGGAGCUCAACUCCAGAACUGCCUUUGAUACUGAGGAUCUUGAGUUCGGGAGAGGUGAGUGGAACUGCGAGUGUAGAGGUGAAAUUCGUAGAUAUUCGCAAGAACACCAGUGGCGAAGGCGGCUCACUGGCCCGAUACUGACGCUGAGGAGCGAAAGCGUGGGGAGCGAACAGG
Molecule: ribosomal RNA, 253 nt
Filed under: uncultured bacterium
Lineage: Bacteria
Description: partial 16S ribosomal RNA
Rfam family: Bacterial small subunit ribosomal RNA
Source: RNAcentral